Molecule: ribosomal RNA, 116 nt
Filed under: uncultured bacterium
Lineage: Bacteria
Description: partial 16S ribosomal RNA
Rfam family: Bacterial small subunit ribosomal RNA
Source: RNAcentral
UACGUUCCCGGGCCUUGUACACACCGCCCGUCACACCACGAAAGUUGGCAAUACCCGAAGUCGGUGUCCUAACCGUAAGGAGGGAGCCGCCGAAGGUAGGGUUGAUGAUUGGGGUG